CUACAGAGUGGAUCUAGGUCCAGGUACAGUCUCAGAACCACACUGCAAAACUAGCUUAGUCAGGUAGCUGCUGUAUCUGCUGCUUCCACUGUGAACUCAAAAACCACAUUGCCUGUGCUGCAGGCCGGAAAGCUGCUGAACCAGGAAGCUGUGCUGAUGCUGCUGACUGCCCCUGAGGUUAGAGAUUGACUAGACAUAGUGCCACUGUCAUCCCUGCUGGAGAAGGUCCAAAGCACCUCCACCUCUGUGCUUCCAGAGGGGCAGUGUGGUGGCCACUUCAAAUGCUCAGGCUGUACGAUGCACUAGAGCAUCUACCUGGGCAAGGGAUAUGCUGUAUGACACUCUCCUGAUGCUGGGCAGUGGCUGUGAGCCAAAGCACCCAGGCAGCCCUGCCAUCAGAAGGGUAAACCACGGACACCUGAUGCCUUCCUGAAGGAAGAGCACUACGCCUGCCAAACCAUCAAGCGUUGAUGCUCCAGCGCCUUCUACCCAUGGUUCUCCAGCCUCAGCAGUAGAGAGAGAAAUUGAUGACCCUGUCAUUGUAGCAUCCCCAUCACCCAGCAAUUAAUUUUAGUUCAAUGCUUCAAACGCUCUUCAGGCGCAAUGUGCGUUCAGCUGUGUCAGCUAAUGCAAAUGGGGGAUCUCAGAAGUCUUAAUGAAGUAACUAUCCCUGAACACUGGGAUCAAUACUCAGAAUCCAGCCGUCAAAUCAACACCAAGCCGCCUCCUGGAACAGAUUGUUAAGCUGAUGCGAGUCUGGGCUCUGCCUCACCACUUGUCUCAGAGACAGAGUCUUGCUCUGUCACCUAGGCUGGAGUGCAGUGGUGCCAUCACAGCUCACUGCAGCCUUGACCUCCCCGUGCUCAAGUGAUCCUCACACCUCAGCCUCCCGAGUAGCCGGGAUCACAAGUUAAACAAACACAGUUCUUUACAUCAAUGCUUCCGUCCCUGGCCAUCUGGUCUCCUGUCCCCUCCAGAACCAAAACCAUGGGCUGUGCUGCAGCAAAAUGAGGAUGUACUCAGUGCACUGAGGCCCAUGUACCAUGAGAGAUGGCGA
RNAcentral lists this long non-coding RNA (1057 nucleotides) under Pongo abelii (Sumatran orangutan). Its description in RNAcentral is "lincRNA". The record is from RNAcentral. Lineage: Eukaryota; Metazoa; Chordata; Mammalia; Primates; Hominidae.